ACCACCAAGCAGAACUAGAAGUUGGCCUGAUAGAAAAAAAAUGCCUAAUAUGGACCGAUACUCGUUCCAAAUCAGCUUCCAAAAGAUUGUUCAUCACUUUUUAAUCACUCCGAACGUGCUUUGUGCCAGGCGAUUUUGUGAUUUUGUGACAGCAAGAGCCUCUCUCUUUUGGGGUGGGAGAUGGGGGUAAAAAUGAGGCUUUUUUCAGUUGCUUCUUGAUAACCCCUCACCUCCCACAUUUUCUCUUUGAGAAUCUCGAUACUAAAUUAGUUGCAUGCAACAGUCACGUUCAUUCAUUAGUUUCUGAACUUUUUUUCUUUUUGAGAGGAAUCAAUCUUUUCAAUUACUGAUCAUUACAGUGCCAUUAGAAGGAACUUUCAGGCUUCGUAGAGAUAUGGGCAAAGAUUAAAGGUCUGUCCAAAGAUACAGUGCAAAUGUUAUGAAGAUCUCCGUGUGGAUAUAUAUUUAAUCAUAUAUUGCUUAUACACUAGAUAAAUUCUGAAUAUUUAUAUAAAACUAAAAAAUUCAAAUAGCACUUUCCGACUAUCUUAAAUUAUUACAAAUCAUAUCAAAACUUGGUUUGGUGCAGUCCUAAAUUGCUACCAAUUUUUUCAGGCUUAGCAAAGAAAGUUGGAAUUCAUUGAGCUGCCCCCUUUGUUUCUUGGAGAAAUUUAUGUUUCUUCCGCUGCUUCUUUUCUGAAGAGGGUGUCUAUAUAUUGUAAUUUUCUAUUUCCGUUUUUUAACCCUUCAGUGCCCAAUAAUCUUUAUCUAUAAUCCUCCAUGACCUCUGCACAUGUAGUUUGGCAUAAACUUA
This 814-nucleotide long non-coding RNA is filed under the name Phoenix dactylifera (date palm). Its description in RNAcentral is "long non-coding RNA (PDAC_LNC000137)". Lineage: Eukaryota; Viridiplantae; Streptophyta; Magnoliopsida; Arecales; Arecaceae. The record is from RNAcentral.